AAAAGUUGCCUAGAUGAAGCAGAAGAGAGAGCUCUCCUCCCAUCUUUUAAUGGAUGUCUUCGUGAAAUAAAAAUUCCAGUUUUCUCUCACACACUCUCUCUCUUGAUUGAUUGAUGGUGGAGGUCUGUCUCUUCGGUUGCAAAGAAAAGAGGGAGAUUUCAAGAGCAGAUGGUAAAAGCUUUACGAGCAAAUCCCAAGUUUUCCUCUCCAUUUCUAAGCCCCGGUUUCUCUCCUCCAUAUCUGACUCAAGACAUUAAAAUUUUUUCUCAAACUGUAACUCUCUCUCCUCCAUGUUUGUGAGGAUCACUGUUGCCGACGCCGACUUUGUCACUACUGCCGAAGGAAAGCUAGGUUGGAUCUAAAUGUACCUUAGCCACUGUUUCACUCUUAGGUUCUCAGAUAUCUCAGUCUGAAAUUAUCUCCAUGUUUGAUCCCAUAGCUGAAGAAAAAAAAAGAUUGGUGUGUGAUAAAUGAGAAAUUUUUUCAUGAUGAUUAUGGGUUGUUUUUUUUAUUUUAUUAUAUUUUUUUAUGAGUACGAACUUCGGUU
Long non-coding RNA from Morus notabilis, 547 nucleotides. RefSeq lists it as uncharacterized. The record is from RefSeq and is a predicted model, not a curated record. Lineage: Eukaryota; Viridiplantae; Streptophyta; Magnoliopsida; Rosales; Moraceae. The transcript has 3 exons.